GGAGAGGUGUGAGUGGAUUCCCAAUCCCUCCCCAAUUUAAUGAAUUAACACGGGAGUGGGAGGAAUCCACACUCCUCACUCCCACUCCAGAAAGUAAAUACAGCGUAAAAGUCUCUAAAGUCUCAAUCACCUCCAAUACCUUAACAAAUAUAAGAUAUAACUAUUAAUAACUUAUCCUAAGAAUCUGAUUUGCUAAUUCAUACCUGUACUAGUCUGAUUCUUAAAAUUUUAACUCUUAAUCUAAAACUCAAAAUGACAUAAUAUUCUAUAGAACCAUUAUGGACAUCCAUGGGUACCUCAUAUAAAAUUUCCAAGAGGAUCCGAUACCAAAAACAUUUUCAAAACUAUUUAUUGCUUGACAAAUUCAAAACUGUUUCACAGUAUCUUAACCGAACAGACCGUAUUUGGAGAAUUUUAUAAAAUCAGAUACGGAUCAGAAAAUUGUGAAAUUAAAACUAGGAAUACUAUACACAUGUAUCAACUCCUAUAUAAAAUUUAAGAAUGUUUCGAGUUCAUUUAGUAGUACAAAUAAGUUUAUGAAUUAGAUUUCCUUGUUGUAAUCACAAUUUUCCAGUGUAUUAAUGUUCGAUUCACAAAUCCAUAUAAAAUUGAAAACAAAGUCAAAUCUUAUGAAAUAAAAUUUAAUCAAUAAUCCCUACAUGUCUAGUUUUCAGAAAUAUAAAGUUCUUAGAAAACUCAUUACGAAAAUAUAUGUUUAAAUUCGAGAUACUCAUAUUGUCCAGAAUUUGUCCAGUGUGCUUAAUACACCAAGGGUUGAUUAUUAAAACCCAAAAUAAAUCAAAACUCGAAACAAAACCUAAACACACCUUAAAUCAUGUAUUAUAGUCUGCAUCAAUCUAAAAUCAUGCUAAUAUAAACCCUAAAUAGAGUGAUUGGAAAUCUCAUGGAGACUAAGGAGAGUAAACUUACCAAUUGCUUUGAUUCUCUUCCAAACAAAUGUUU
RNAcentral lists this long non-coding RNA (963 nucleotides) under Citrus sinensis (sweet orange). RNAcentral describes it as "long non-coding RNA (CSIN_LNC000125)". The record is from RNAcentral. Lineage: Eukaryota; Viridiplantae; Streptophyta; Magnoliopsida; Sapindales; Rutaceae.